UAGGGAAUCUUCCGCAAUGGGCGAAAGCCUGACGGAUCAACGCCGCGUGAGUGAUGAAGGUCUUCGGAUCGUAAAACUCUGUUAUUAGGGAAGAACAAAUGUGUAAGUAACUAUGCACGUCUUGACGGUACCUAAUCAGAAAGCCACGGCUAACUACGUGCCAGCAGCCGCGGUAAUACGUAGGUGGCAAGCGUUAUCCGGAAUUAUUGGGCGUAAAGCGCGCGUAGGCGGUUUUUUAAGUCUGAUGUGAAAGCCCACGGCUCAACCGUGGAGGGUCAUUGGAAACUGGAAAACUUGAGUGCAGAAGAGGAAAGUGGAAUUCCAUGUGUAGCGGUGAAAUGCGCAGAGAUAUGGAGGAACACCAGUGGCGAAGGCGACUUUCUGGUCUGUAACUGACGCUGAUGUGCGAAAGCGUGGGGAUCAAACAGG
This 429-nucleotide ribosomal RNA is filed under the name Actinomycetes bacterium. RNAcentral describes it as "Actinobacteria bacterium partial 16S ribosomal RNA". It matches the Rfam family "Bacterial small subunit ribosomal RNA", at positions 355 to 776 of the family's 1533-position model. The record is from RNAcentral. Lineage: Bacteria; Bacillati; Actinomycetota; Actinomycetes.